GAUGAAGAACGUAGCGAAAUGCGAUAAGUAAUGUGAAUUGCAGAAUUCAGUGAAUCAUCGAAUCUUUGAACGCACAUUGCGCCCGCUAGUAUUCUGGCGGGCAUGCCUGUUCGAGCGUCAUUUCAACCAUCAAGCCCUGUUUAGGCUUGUGUUGGGGCCCUGCGGUUGCCGCAGCCCCCUAAAUGCAGUGGCGGGCUCGUUGUCACUCCGAGCGCAGUAGCGUAUCUCGCUCUGGGCGUGGCGGCGGGUGCUAGCCGUGAAACAACCACUAAGGUUGACCUCGGAUCAGGUAGGAAUACCCGCUGAACUUAAGCAUAUCAAUAAGCGGAGGA
This 332-nucleotide unclassified non-coding RNA is filed under the name soil metagenome. RNAcentral describes it as "partial contains 5.8S ribosomal RNA, internal transcribed spacer 2, and large subunit ribosomal RNA". The stretch from base 1 to 120 matches the Rfam family "5.8S ribosomal RNA", at positions 35 to 154 of the family's 154-position model. The record is from RNAcentral.